CUUCCACACUUUCACAGGUGUGGCCACAAAAAAAAAAGAGAGAGAGAUUAUUUUAUGAUAACGGGAUAGAUUUUUUUCUUAAGCAGAGUACAAAAAUACAAGUGCUAAAGAAAAAAGAUGGGUUAAUAUGACAAUAUCAACUUGAAUACUCAUUGAUAUACAGAAUUAAAAAGAAAAGGGACAGACUAGAAGCAGAUAUGUGCACGCUAUUUAAUUGACAAACUGUUAUUAUCAUGAAAAAAGUAAUAUAAAAUUUUUACAAAUCAGCAAGAAAGAGAUAACUAUCUAUUGGCAAAAUGGGCACUUAUUUGAAAGGACCAGUCAUCAGGUAUCAGUAGAGCUGCAGGGAUAUGCUCCUUUAUACCUAGUGGGGUAUAAAUUUCUAAAAUAAUUUUCAAGAGCAACUUGUCAAUGUCCAUAAGUGUUUGAGAUAUGUCUCCAUGAAGCCCAGCACUUUCAUUUCUACUCUUAUGUUCCAGAGAAACUUCUGUUUAUCUUGUACAUAUGUACACUUAUGAAUAUGCAAAUAUGUCCACUGAACCCCUGUUUACAACAAUAAGAAAUAAGGGAAAAUCUACAUGUCUAUCUAUUCAUAGCUAAUAAAUUAGAGAAAUAAAUUAUAUUCUAUUUACACCUUGGCAUAUAGGAGAGCAGUUUAAAUGAGUGAACUAAAGGUGUAUGUAUUAUGUUGGAAUAACCUCUAAAACAUUACAUUGAUUAAACAAGCAAACUUCAAAAGGAUGCCUACAUUUAAAUAAAUUAAUUCUCUAUGUAGUUCAUGAAGAGCAUAAAAACAUCAGUAGAAAGGAUACACAGUAAGCUUCAUAAAAUAGAGGAUAGAAAGUGAAGUUAAACUGUAUGUAUGGAGUAUGGCUUUAAAAAAGAAAACUAGGAGUUCCCAUUAGGGCUUAGUAGGUUAAGGACCUAACAUAGUGACUGUGAGGAUGUGGGGUUUGAACCUGGCCUCGUUCAGUGGGUUAAGGAUCUGGCAUUGCCACAAGCACUGUAGACCAUAUAUGCAGCUUCAAUCUGGUGUUGCUAUGGCUGUGGCAUAGGUAGGCCUGCAGCUGUAUCUCCCUCUCUUCCCCUAGACUGGAAACUUCCAUAUACCACAGGUGUGGCCCUAAAAAUAAAAUAAAUAAAUAAGAAAACCAAGAAAAAAAAAUCUAAUGUUUUCACUUGCUAGACUUUGCUUCAGUCAUAUUCAGUGGUUCUGGUAACUCUGGAACAGGUUGUAUUUAGAGAGGCUGGUCCUUGAUGGGAGAAACGUCUUAACACUGGAGCUGGAAAAUGCAUCACCAGAUCAUUAGAAUAUUUCUAGUGUAUCAGAUAAGUCCAGUCACGUAUAAGUGGGCUUUAUUUCUGGGAGAAUCAGCUUAAGGGCAGGAUAUGAGCUGGGUCAGACAGACAAAGUGUAAAAUAAAAGGUUACCAAAAUCGACUUUAAGAAUAUCAAAGUCAGCCUAAUUUCUUUUGAAAACAUAGCCACAAGUAAAUAAGCAAGCAAUCAAGAAGGAAUUGAGAAGCAGACCUUGGCAAAUAUAAUUUUCUGGCAGAAACCAGGCCUGUAACCCAGGCCAGCCUUGGCUCUGUUUAGAACUCCAGCUCUAUGGGCUCAGGCCCUCUAUCCAGGUUUAUGUAGAUAACUGGGUAGAAGGGCGAAGGGGAAUUUUGGUGGGAAAUGAUUUUGGUAGGAAUCCUUCCCUACACCAUGAUCCAGACAGCCUCAAGAUGGAUUCAAGAGCAGCCACACCCCCAGCCAGGGAUGAAAUCCAUGCCACAUCUGCGAAUUAAGCCAGAGCUGCAGCAAUGCUGGAUCCCUAACCAACUGUGCUGGGCCGGGGAUUGAACCAGCAACACCACAGUGACAAACCAGAUCAUCUCUGUCAGUAUAAACCCUUGCCCUUUCAAAUAAAAAGGAAAUAUAACUCUAACAGUCUUGCUCAGGGCUCCAAGGCAAUGCCUUGCUAGGACUCUGGGACCCCUGCCCCCUAAGAUACCCCAAGAGCUUGGGGGUGCUCUAGGAUACUUUUGAGAUGAUGAGAUAGCAACCAUGGGUGGGGAUAUGAUUUAUAUUUUUGAACCAGAUACCAGAAAACAUUUCCAAACACCUUUCACUCACUACGCUUAGGCAACUAAACCUGAAACAGCUCAGGACAAUUAACAAUUCAAACUCAAAAACCAAAGAAAAGAUAGGGAGAGGAAACAUACACCUUUUAAUUGGAAUAUGUAGCAACAAUUGCGUUUUUGGUGUCAGGUCCUUGUCUUCCAUCCCAUUCCUACUGCAUCCCUAAGGAAGGUCUUUAUCAUCUCACCGUGACCACUUCUUUAGACUACCACACUUUUCUCUGGGCUCUGGUGCCCCCCUUAAUUUAGCCUGUGAACAUUUGCAGAUUAAUUGUAAUGCUCCAAAUAUGUAGUGCUCAUAUUAAAGUCAUAGUUCAGCCACA
Non-coding RNA from Sus scrofa (pig), 2449 nucleotides. The record is from RefSeq and is a predicted model, not a curated record. NCBI's taxonomy places the organism in Eukaryota, Metazoa, Chordata, Mammalia, Artiodactyla, Suidae.